UAUUAUUCAGCCAUGACAAAGAAGGAAGUCAUGCUCUCUGUCACAACAAGGCUGGACUGUGAAGGCGUAUGUUAAGUGGAACAAGCCAAAGACAUGCUGCAUGGCCUCGUUUACAUAUGGAAUCUAAAACACAAGCCGAACUGAUAGAAACAGAAUAGAAAAGAGGUUGUGGCAGAGGCUGGGGGGUGAGGGAAGCAGGGGCUUCCUCUACUGAUUGGCUGGCCGGGGGGCCUGGACACACACUGAGGGACCAGAGGACAGGACUCUGGUUGGUGGUGGGGCUUGGGUGGGGUGAAGGCAGCCAGGACAGAGCCUCUGGCUGCAGGAGGGAGUGGCUUCUCCUCUGUGGGCCUCUGAGCAAGUCCCUGUCCCUCUUUGAGCCUCCUCAUCUGGAGAAAGGAGGGUGAUGAUCCUGUGGGGCAGGACUCACAGGGUUGGUGAUGAGGUUCAAGGGAGGGAGGGAGUGUGCUGGAGGUGUGGGAGGAGAACAAGGAUGCCCGUAAUAUGACACUGAGUCCUCAGGAGACCCUGUGAGGUAGGUGGAGUUGUCCUCACAUUUUCCAGAUGAGGAAAUGGGCUCAGGGAGGCCCGGCCAAAGGCCCAAAGCUGCAUAUAGUGCGAGCGCUAGAGCUAGGACUGUUCUGGAAUCAGAGUGCCCUGUAGGACAGAGUAGCACGGAUACCAGCUGACUUGGUAAGAUGACCAGGGUCCAAGGUUAGAAGUUUUGGGGGAACAUGGGGUGAAGGGACAUGGCCUCUCUGACCCCAUCCUUGAACUUGGCAGGAGGGGAGACUGCCAAGUUUGCCGUCCUGGAGACAAGCUUCCAGAGAGCCCACAAGCAGCAGCAGCAGGUUUACUGGGCGAGUUUGACAACAGAGAAGUGGGAGACCCACCAAACUGGCAGGGUGGAGGAAGAGGGCUGGCAUCAAAGACAGCGUCCUGGAGGAGGGGCUGUUUACACCUGUCUCUGAGAACAGGAAUACAAAGUAAUGAGGGAGACCUGGCUGCUUCAGAGGGCUGCUAAUCAUUACAAUCUAGAGCCUGAGGAACAAUUUGGAGCCUGUUUUCAGUAUAUGGAGCAACUCAGUGAGGAUGAAGGCUACAACUGGUCCUACCAGCUGGAGCUCUGGUCCUAGAUGCCAGCAGAACACUCAAGGCCGAGAGGGGCUGACCACCAUAGAGCUCAGCGGCGAAUGGGUGUCCAGGCUACUGUGGCUGAAUCCUAGGGGCUCCAGCUACCAGGCCUCCGAAACAGAGUGCAGUACCAGUGGCGGAUCACACUUCUGAGACCAGCUCAAGUAAGGCAGCAGCAGGGACACAGCGGGGGCUCUCAUAGGCACUGGGUCAGCCCCUCCUCUGAGGUGAAGAACACAGUGAGCCUUUCUGUGGGGUCUCCUGAAGGGCAGAAUAAAAGAUGACCCUGCUCCAUCCAGCUGCUCUUCUCUAAGGCCUAUUUACCUAUUGUGGAGGGGUACCGUUUAUUUGUUGUGAGCAGUAAAUGCUGGAUUUGAAUAUUAUUAUACUAAAAUCCUAUUUCUUUUACAGAUUGAGUGAGUGAUUUUGUUCUUUCACUUUCUAUGCUAAUUUAAAUGA
Molecule: non-coding RNA, 1593 nt
Organism: Manis javanica (Malayan pangolin)
Lineage: Eukaryota; Metazoa; Chordata; Mammalia; Pholidota; Manidae
Source: RefSeq, a predicted model, not a curated record